RNAcentral lists this long non-coding RNA (4066 nucleotides) under Zea mays. RNAcentral's name for it is "long non-coding RNA (ZMAY_LNC001872)". The record is from RNAcentral. Lineage: Eukaryota; Viridiplantae; Streptophyta; Magnoliopsida; Poales; Poaceae.
CCCGGCAAUGGGAAGCUCACUCUGAUGAUCGCUGGUCGGCUCCUCUCACUCGCAGCCAUCUCUCUCUCCGCCACCCGUCCUCAUUUGCCCCCGAACACUGUGACACCAUCUGCUGCGCACGCACCCUUUCUCAAUGGCCGAAGCGAAGAGGGGGAUGGGAAGGUACGGUCUCUUCGCUUGUCGCAGUUAUUAAUUUUACAAUUCUAGACUAGAUUCGACGUUGGCAAUAGUUGAUGCCUGUUUUUUUGUCAGCAUCUAUUUUCCUUCUAAGUUUCUAUUAGGGAGAAUUGCCCCACGUCUGUUUUUAGGACCAACGAUGUCAUAAGAAUAUAACAUGACACCACUUACAAUCUGUAGGGCAGUGCUUAAUAUGUAGUUUGUUACAAAUAAUUUAAAAUUAGAAGGAAAUUAAAAAAGAAAACAAGUUCCUCUUCAUUUUACCUUGUGCCAAUAUGCUACUACAAUAUUUAGCUUAACAUGCUGAACAGUAUGAGUUUCAGACUUUCAAAAGCAGAUAGUUGAUAGGUUGUAUCAGGGGCUCAGCUAAUGGUUGCUUUCCCCUAGUUUCUCCAUAUCUAAACAUAGAAUAUUUGAUCCCGUACUUUUUCAGUUGACUCUGGUAGGCUGGUUAUUUGACAGUACCCCAAUCCUUGCGUUUGCCUUUCCUGGCAUGAUUGAUAAUGAAAAACCCUACUUUUUGGCUGUCUGGGUGCUCUGAUCACAUUGUGGUCCUCUGCUCCUGUACCAAGUCUAAUAUUGCCCUAGAUCUCAUAUGUCAUUCCCACUCGUAGCAUCCUGUUAUGAGGGAUGCAUGUUAUCUUCUCUGGUUGACUGAAGUUCUUCCUCAUGAAACUGCAAGCGUAGCCAACUAUUAUCUUCUUCAAUAAAUCUGCAUUUGGUCCUGCCACCACAUUAGGAUGUAUCAAUAUGAAGAGUUCACAAACAUCUAAGACCAACAACACUACAUGUCAAAUUCUCUCUUAUUGAAUUUACUUAAUAGCAUCUUACUUACACUAUCAAAAGAUGGGUGUCCCAGUCUGCGAUGGUGCAACAAAAUAUCUUCACACCUUCCUCUAUUGCCAGAGCUGUAUCUUCUUGGCUGAUGUACCACAACCCAUUACGUCUGACUCUAGUCUCAAUCCUCUUCCCAGUCCUCUUCUCCUGAAAGAUACAUGAGUGCUCAUCAAAUAAGAUUGUGCAAUUGAAUUGGUCAACAAUGAAGCCAACAGAAAGGAGAUUAACAGGAAAUGCAGGGACAUGAAGAACAAAAGGUAAUGUAAGAUGUGGCGUGAAUCUAACUAACUCUACACCUCUAAUAGGCUGAGAAGUUCCAUCAGCAGUUUGGAUUGUUUCUAAAUGAGUCUAUGGGUUAUAGGAUGCAAAAGGAUUGAAUGAGCAUGUCACAUGUUUAGACGCACCUGAAUCUAUAAUCCAAUUUAAAUGAGGAUCAUAUGAUGAUGCAAGUGUCUGUGCUUGAAUACCUUUGCGCACAUGGGUAUAGUUGGCAAAGUUACCAAAAUGAAUGGCAGUUGCUGCAAUAGGACCCUGUGAGGAGGUGCUUGUGGAGUUCUUAGAAGUAUUUCUCUCUUGCCACUGCUCCCACUGCAUGAUUUGUUCCCCUGUCAGUAUGAUAGAUGGACCCUCCUCUGCCACAACAAUAUUAGCCCUAGAGCCUCCUUGAGCCCUGCCUCGACCUCCUCUACUAGCACCAUAACCAACAUGGCUUCCAUGGGUGCUGAUCCGUCUACCAUUAUAGUUCUUUGGUCUACGGCAAUUAUAACUCAAAUGCCGUUUGUCUCCACAAUUGUAAGAUUCCCUAUUGUCAGCUAUGGUGUAGGCUGAUCUAACAGGAGUGUUACUACCGAUCACCGCAACCUAAUUUCUUCUUGGACUAUGGCUGAAAUAGCAUCCUCCAAGGUAGGAAGACUAUCCUGGUGACAAAAAACAGCCCUUCUACUCUCAAAUUCAUAGUUCAAUCCUUUGAGGAACUGGGUCACUCCUGUCCUCUGCCCAUUUUUGGACAGCUUGAGCAUCAUUGGGAGUCUCCAUUUGAAGUGGGGCAUAGUGAUCUAACUCAACCCCCACAAGUAUUUGAGUUCAUUAGCAUACUCCUCAAUUGUCCUCCCUGUUUUAUUUUAUCCGCCUUGCCUUAAAUCUCUACCAUCAUCGUCGCCAUCACAUUCCCUUUACCAGUGUGAAGCGGCUGAGAACGAUGGUGAACAGUUGACUUCAUUUGCCGUAGUUGUGAACUUGAGUGUCGAGAGUGUACGACACCAGCGACUUGAUGUUGACACUGUGAAUGGCUUGGGAGAGAGGAAGUACUGUGGUUGAAGAAGCUGCAGUGGUGUCGCCAAGUACGGGGGAGGAAUGAGUGCUGAAAGCCGGCAACGGUGGCAUGCCAAGUAGAGGGGAGGAACUGUUGUGAAGAGCGGCGGUGGUGAGUGGUGACGCUGUGGACUGAGCUAUGCGUAUCGCUCAUGAUGAGAAAAGGUGCGAUCUCAGGAUCUUCUAGCUGGUACCAUGCAAGAACUAGAAGAGGAGAAUAUCUGUUCUCUGUAUUCAUAUGUAGUUUACGAAUUACAAAAUAUAUAGGCACGCUAGAUUAUAAGAGAUAAGCACAGGUAAAGUGAUCCUAGAAAACUGGGCACGCAGGCCCGAAGACUCGGACGAACAGGCAUGAAACGAGGAUCUAGCCAACUGACUUUGUACAACGUUUAGCAAUAUUGACAAUUCAAAAAUACCCAUGCAUCAGGCAAAUGAAGGACCUGUUGUUUGAUUGAAUUUGAGUAGCUGGAGAAACACACCUCGGCUGCAUGUGUUGGUCCGCCAGGAAUCUUUCCAACCUCCCUAUGCAGUGAACUUUGCUUUCCUACUUGUUGAAGUUGGAGAUUCAUUUAUGCAAGUUUGAAUUUGCAUUCCCAUUAUGUAAACAGUCGUGAUAUUAGUACAGUGUGUAACGGCCAAACUGCCAACAAUAUUGACUUGGAAACUUCAAUACUACGGACAGCUAUUGCUGGAAUGAAAACAUGGGGGAGCCGAAGUGUUCUUUCGUCACUCGGUGGUUUUAACUCCCUUUCGUGCUGUCCUGCAGGCCUGCACCACGGACUUUGACCAUUCUUUAUUGCGCAGGAUCCGUGCAGAGAAAAGUCUUCGUGAUAAUGGCUUCUAGCCUUCUGGAAUAUUUACCACCUGCGGCCAAGCGUGUGAAAAUUGCUCGGAAAGAUUGGCAAGCUGAAUGACCGAAGGGGAUAAGAUCAUUGACCGUGUGCGCAAGUGAGUUGAACUUUCAAAGUUUUUUAAUCUUUUAUUUUUACUACGUGCAGCGUGGCCAGUGGAUUGAGAAGUAGUAAACGCGUAAGAUUAAUUCUGCUGAUUUACUUUCUCUAGGUCUGGUUGCUCUCUCAGGUGUCCCUAUCAGGGCUUAGAAAGGACGUGUUUGGACUUGGACGAACUCAAGGAGAACUACAUAAUGACGAUUUAGUGACGGGGUUUUUUUAAGAAGGGUUUAGUGAUGACUUGUUACAUGCAGCUUUCGGCUCCAGGACUUGGGUUUGGUAAGCUGUUUCUCUGUUAAGUCUGCUAUUGGGGGUACAGAUCCAAUGCACCGAAUGAUCAACAGAACCAUAAACGUCGGGCUGGUUUGGUAACUUAGCCAGACCUGUGGGCAGCCCAUCCCCUGAGGCGUUUUAUUGGGCCUCACCUUUUUUUCCCCCAGAUUAUUUUGGCGUCGGUUUUCAUACGCCAACAUAAAUGGAGCGUCAAUUCCAGCAUUUGUUUCAGCUCUUUGGUCCGAUUCCUCUUUUGACUCUGAUGUUUUUCCUUUGCACGAGACGUGGUUUCUACUUCUCUAAACAUCAUGAUUUGUUUCUAUUUGCGAAUUUGGACACCGUAAACUAUGACUGAGCUCACCUCGAGACGAGAGAGCAAAGUAUAGUUGGAGAGAUUGUCUGAUAUGCGUUUGUUGUCUAUGGACGUCGCUCUCAGUGUCACCAUUCACCACACGGUGGAAUGUGUGUAUAACUUCGGAUUAAAGUCGACUGCUAUAGCUGUAUAAAAAUACUGAAGA